AUUGAACGCUGGCGGAAUGCUUUACACAUGCAAGUCGAGCGGCAGCGCGGGGCAACCUGGCGGCGAGCGGCGAACGGGUGAGUAAUACAUCGGAACGUACCCAGUUGUGGGGGAUAGCCCGGCGAAAGCCGGAUUAAUACCGCAUACGACCUGAGGGUGAAAGGGGGGGGAUCGCAAGACCUCUCGCAGUUGGAGCGGCCGAUGGCGGAUUAGCUAGUUGGUAGGGUAAAGGCCUACCAAGGCGACGAUCCGUAGCUGGUCUGAGAGGACGACCAGCCACACUGGAACUGAGACACGGUCCAGACUCCUACGGGAGGCAGCAGUGGGGAAUUUUGGACAAUGGGGGCAACCCUGAUCCAGCCAUUCCGCGUGAGUGAAGAAGGCCUCGGUUGUAAG
This 396-nucleotide ribosomal RNA is filed under the name uncultured bacterium. Its description in RNAcentral is "bacterial SSU rRNA". It matches the Rfam family "Bacterial small subunit ribosomal RNA", at positions 29 to 429 of the family's 1533-position model. The record is from RNAcentral.